GACGAACGCUGGCGGCGUGCUUAACACAUGCAAGUCGAACGGAAAGGCCUGCUUUCCCUUGUGGAUUGCGGGUACUCGAGUGGCGAACGGGUGAGUAACACGUGAGUGAUCUGCCCCCAACUUGGGUAUAAGCCUGGGAAACUGGGUCUAAUUCCCGAUAGGACUGCAGGGUGGUGCCUGUGGUGGAAAACGAUUUUCUAGUGGUUGGGGAUGAGCUCGCGGCCUAUCAGCUUGUUGGUGGGGUAAUGGCCUACCAAGGCGGCGACGGGUAGCCGGCCUGGGAGGGUGGACGGCCACAUUGGGACUGGGAUACGGCCCAGACUCCUACGGGAGGCAGCAGUGGGGAAUAUUGCACCAUGGGCGGAAGCCUGAUGCAGCGACGCCGCGUGGGGGAUGACGGCCUUCGGGUUGUAAACUCCUUUCGACCGCGAGGAAGCCACCUGGUUGGAAGGGUGGUGACGGUAGUGGUAGAAGAAGCACCGGCUAACUACGUG
This 494-nucleotide ribosomal RNA is filed under the name uncultured bacterium. Its description in RNAcentral is "partial 16S ribosomal RNA". It matches the Rfam family "Bacterial small subunit ribosomal RNA", at positions 28 to 507 of the family's 1533-position model. The record is from RNAcentral.